GUAGGGAAUAUUGGGCAAUGGUCGGAAGACUGACCCAGCCAUGCCGCGUGCAGGAAGACGGCCCUCUGGGUUGUAAACUGCUUUUAUCUGGGAAGAAAAAGGCCAUGCGUGGCAAAUUGCCGGUACCAGAUGAAUAAGCACCGGCUAACUCCGUGCCAGCAGCCGCGGUAAUACGGAGGGUGCGAGCGUUGUCCGGAUUUAUUGGGUUGAAAGGGUGCGUAGGCGGCUGAUUAAGUCAGCGGUGAAAGACUUCGGCUUAACCGGAGCAGUGCCGUUGAUACUGGUUGGCUUGAGUGUCGGAGGGGUACAUGGAAUUGAUGGUGUAGCGGUGAAAUGCAUAGAUACCAUCAGGAACACCGAUAGCGAAGGCAUUGUACUGGCCGACAACUGACGCUGAUGCACGAAAGUGUGGGGAUCGAACAGGAUUAGAAACCCUGGUAGUCC
RNAcentral lists this ribosomal RNA (444 nucleotides) under uncultured bacterium. Its description in RNAcentral is "bacterial SSU rRNA". It matches the Rfam family "Bacterial small subunit ribosomal RNA", at positions 354 to 796 of the family's 1533-position model. The record is from RNAcentral.